This 85-nucleotide transfer RNA is filed under the name Felis catus (domestic cat). It matches the Rfam family "tRNA". Rfam says of the family: Transfer RNA (tRNA) molecules are approximately 80 nucleotides in length. Their secondary structure includes four short double-helical elements and three loops (D, anti-codon, and T loops). Lineage: Eukaryota; Metazoa; Chordata; Mammalia; Carnivora; Felidae. The record is from Rfam by way of RNAcentral.
GCCUGGGUGGCUCAGUCGGCUGAGCUCUUGAUUUCAGCUCGGGUCACUAUCUCAUGGUUUGUGGGUUCGAACUCCACCUCAGGAG